UACGUAGGUGGCGAGCGUUGUCCGGAUUUACUGGGCGUAAAGGGCUUGUAGGCGGUCCGUUAAGUCCGAUGUGAAAUCUCCCGGCUCAACUGGGAGAGGUCAUUGGAUACUGGCGGACUAGAGGGGGGUAGAGGAAAGCAGAAUUCCUGGUGUAGCGGUGAAAUGCGUAGAUAUCCGGAGGAACACCAGUGGCGAAGGCGACUUUCUGGCCUGUUCUUGACGCUGAGGCGCGAAAGCUAGGGGAGCAAACGGG
Molecule: ribosomal RNA, 253 nt
Filed under: uncultured bacterium
Lineage: Bacteria
Description: partial 16S ribosomal RNA
Rfam family: Bacterial small subunit ribosomal RNA
Source: RNAcentral